Molecule: ribosomal RNA, 465 nt
Filed under: uncultured bacterium
Lineage: Bacteria
Description: partial 16S ribosomal RNA
Rfam family: Bacterial small subunit ribosomal RNA
Source: RNAcentral
GACGAACGCUGGCGGCGUGCUUAACACAUGCAAGUCGAACGGAAAGGCCCUGCUUGCCGGGUACUCGAGUGGCGAACGGGUGAGUAACACGUGGGUGAUCUGCCCUGCACUUCGGGAUAAGCCUGGGAAACUGGGUCUAAUACCGGAUAGGAGCCAUUUUUAGUGUGAUGGUUGGAAAGUUUUUUCGGUGUAGGAUGAGCUCGCGGCCUAUCAGCUUGUUGGUGGGGUAAUGGCCUACCAAGGCGGCGUCGGGUAGCCGGCCUGAGAGGGUGGACGGCCACAUUGGGACUGAGAUACGGCCCAGACUCCUACGGGAGGCAGCAGUGGGGAAUAUUGCACAAUGGGCGCAAGCCUGAUGCAGCGACGCCGCGUGGGGGAUGACGGCCUUCGGGUUGUAAACUCCUUUCGCUAGGGACGAAGCUUUUUGUGACGGUACCUAGAUAAGAAGCACCGGCUAACUACGUG